This 362-nucleotide ribosomal RNA is filed under the name Pseudomonadota bacterium. Its description in RNAcentral is "Proteobacteria bacterium (groundwater metagenome) partial 23S ribosomal RNA". It matches the Rfam family "Bacterial large subunit ribosomal RNA", at positions 2567 to 2925 of the family's 2925-position model. Lineage: Bacteria; Pseudomonadati; Pseudomonadota. The record is from RNAcentral.
AAGGGUUUGGCUGUUCGCCAAUUAAAGCGGUACGUGAGCUGGGUUUAAAACGUCGUGAGACAGUUUGGUCCUUAUCUGUUGCGGGCGUAGGAUAUUUGAGAAGAUCUGUUCCUAGUACGAGAGGACCGGAAUGGACGAACCACUGGUGUUCCUGUUGUGGCGCCAGCCGCAUCGCAGGGUAGCUAAGUUCGGAAGGGAUAACCGCUGAAAGCAUAUAAGCGGGAAGCCUACUUCAAGAUAAGAUAUCCCGUACCAAAUGGUACCUGAAGGCACGUCGCAGACUACGACGUCGAUAGGUCGGGUGUGGAAGUGCAGUAAUGCAUGGAGCUUACCGAUACUAAUCAGCCGUGCGGCUUGACCAU